Long non-coding RNA from Bubalus bubalis (water buffalo), 1065 nucleotides. RefSeq lists it as uncharacterized. The transcript has 3 exons. Lineage: Eukaryota; Metazoa; Chordata; Mammalia; Artiodactyla; Bovidae. The record is from RefSeq and is a predicted model, not a curated record.
UCCUUCUGGAAUGCUUCUCUAUAAGGUACUUUUCCUUUGAGGGGCUGGAAAAAAAACUAGGGGACUGAAUGUACUCACUGUAGGAAAGAACUGGGAAAGGCCAAUUAACAUUCCGCUAAGAGAGAAAAUGAUUUCUCCCAUCAGCAAUAAAAACUGACAGCUCUAUCAGAAAAUGAGCCGGGGGGGAAACCUGCAGAGCCUGGCGGGGCAGGUGGGGCGGGGAGUGUGUGCCCUGCUCACUGAGGGGUAAGGAUGCUGAGUGCAGAGACGGCUGCUGGGAGUCAGGGGAGCUCAGGCGGCCAGAGGUGUCGCUGUCUGGGGAGGUGACCCACGGCUCCCAGCCUCACUAAUCUGGCCCCCAGGCAAGAAGACGAGCCCUGUUCAGGUUUUAUCCCUGGAACUCAGAGCUUCGACUCUCCCAACGGCUUCUCCCUGUACACUCGUUUCCUCUGACCUUAUCAUAAAAGGAAGCCACGUGAUGUCUAUUUAUGGCAGCAGCGUGGUCUGGGGAGAAGAGGCUCUCAGCCCUGUGAAUUCCAGGGGCUGAUGAAAUUGCUCCUCUGCUCCGGCUCUCUCCCUGCCAGGAAUGAAUAAACGGGCGCGGGGGCGGCCGGAAGAAUCAAAUGCCAGCUAUCUGACAGACAGGUGCCUUCUUGAGUGCUACGGAUACAACAAGGCAAUAAACUGAAGACCUUCCAUACCCAAGAAUUGAUCCUGGAUGAAAUCAAUAACUUCAGAUCUAUCAGUUUUUACUUCAAGCAUCUGGAGACUCCUUGAGACCCCCUGGACUGUAGCCCUCCAGGCUCCUCUGUCCGUGGAAUUCUCCAGGCAAGAAUACUGGAGUGGGUUGCCAUUUCCUUCUUCAGGGGGUCUUCCCAACCCAGAGAUUGAACCCAUGUCUCCUGAGUCUCCUGCGCUGGCAGGUGGGUUCUUUACCACUGCACCAUCCGGGAACCUUUUUUUUUGUUGUAUGGAAUGUUCCUUAUAAUGACUGUGGAAGUGGUUACACAACUCUAUACACUUGUCAAAACCCAGAGACUUAUAUAGCCAAAAGAGUGGAUUUAA